UAGUCCUAGCAGUAAACGAUGGCUACUAGGUGUGGGGGGUGUUGACCCCUCCUGUGCCGAAGCUAACGCAUUAAGUAGCCCGCCUGGGGAGUACGGUCGCAAGACUAAAACUCAAAGGAAUUGACGGGGACCCGCACAAGCAGCGGAGCGUGUGGUUUAAUUCGAUGCAACGCGAAGAACCUUACCUGGGCUUGACAUUCUCUUGCAACUGUGUGAAAGCACAGCCUCCUUCGGGACAGGAGAACAGAUGUUGCAUGGCUGUCGUCAGCUCGUGUCGUGAGAUGUUGGGUUAAG
RNAcentral lists this ribosomal RNA (294 nucleotides) under uncultured bacterium. RNAcentral's name for it is "partial 16S ribosomal RNA". It matches the Rfam family "Bacterial small subunit ribosomal RNA", at positions 791 to 1084 of the family's 1533-position model. The record is from RNAcentral.